This 409-nucleotide ribosomal RNA is filed under the name uncultured bacterium. Its description in RNAcentral is "bacterial SSU rRNA". It matches the Rfam family "Bacterial small subunit ribosomal RNA", at positions 32 to 418 of the family's 1533-position model. The record is from RNAcentral.
AAUCAACGCUGGCGGCGUGCCUCAGACAUGCAAGUCGAACGCGAAAAUCCCCUUCGGGGGAGUGAGUAGAGUGGCGCACGGGUGAGUAACACGUAGGUAAUCUACCUUCGGAUGGGGAAGUAACAACCGGAAACGGUUGCUAAUACCGCAUAAUGCAGCGGCACCUAAUGGUGACAGUUGUUAAAGCGGGGGAGUCGAAAGACCUCGCGUCUGAAGAGGAGCCUGCGGCGGAUUAGCUAGUUGGUAAGGUAACGGCUUACCAAGGCGACGAUCCGUAGCCGGCCUGAGAGGGCGGUCGGCCACACUGACACUGACAUACGGGUCAGACUCCUACGGAGGCAGCAGUCGGGAAUUUUGGGCAAUGGGCGAAAGCCUGACCCAGCAACGCCGCGUGAAGGAUGAAGUCCUU